CCACAUGCAAGUCGAACGGUAACAGGGAAGAAAGCUUGCUUUCUUUGCUGACGAGUGCCGUGACGGGUGAGUAAUGCUUGGGAAUCUGGCUUAUGGAGGGGGAUAACUACUGGAAACGGUAGCUAAUACCGCGUAAUGUCUACGGACUAAAAGGGGCGAAAGCUCUUGCCAUAAGAUGAGCCCAAGUGGGAUUAGGUAGUUGGUGAGGUAACGGCUCACCAAGCC
This 225-nucleotide ribosomal RNA is filed under the name Muribacter muris. RNAcentral's name for it is "partial 16S ribosomal RNA". It matches the Rfam family "Bacterial small subunit ribosomal RNA", at positions 52 to 274 of the family's 1533-position model. The record is from RNAcentral. Lineage: Bacteria; Pseudomonadati; Pseudomonadota; Gammaproteobacteria; Pasteurellales; Pasteurellaceae.